AUGGGAGGGAGAGGCGGCUGUGGGAGCUGCAGUGGGGGAUGGGGCUGCGGAGGGGGUGGGGAGAGCGGCGCGAGGCCUGGCGAUCGGCGCAGCCCUUGUUGUGCCGCUCUGCGCCCGGCGGGGCCGCGCGGGGCUUUCGCUCGGUUUUUGUCCGCUCUGCGCGGGGCUGGGGAGCGCCAACGGGGCGGCGCGGAGCUCGGCGGGGCGCCGGGCCAAACCGACAGCGGGGCGUUCCGGGCCGAACUUCCCUCGCACCGUCCAGCGAGUCGCGGCGGGACGGGACCCAACGGCGGGGCGGGCGGGGCUGCGAGCGCCGACAGAAGCGGGGCUCCUCGCACACGGGGCGGCGGGCCGGGCCGAGGUGGGGGGGGAGGAGGAGGAGGUGGAGGAGGACGGCUCCGGGGCCGCUCACCUGCCGCCACGGGCCGCGUCCCGUCGGGCGGCGCCGAGCCGCGACCCCAGGCCCUCCACCUCGGGGCGGGGGAAAACUUUUCCCCAAACUUCGCCUUUUGCGGCCGCCCCGCUCCCGUCCGCCUGAGGAGGGGGAGGCGGCAACCCCCCCUCAGCGCCGCUCCCCCCGCGGCAGGGGGUGGGGGCGCAGUUCCCGGCUCCGCGCCGCGUUUUCCCGCUCACCCCUCCCUCGCGCACAGCGCCCUGCGCCGCCUCACUCCUCCGCUCCCGCGUAUCCCUCCGCCGCAGCCGGCGCUUUUUUUUCUAAUUUCCCCCCCCCCCCCCCCCCUCCACUUCCUCACUUUUUCCGCGCAAAUCCACGGGAUGAGAAGAAAGGAAAAACGCUUCUCUCCCCUCGCUUCUGCAAUAAUCUCCUGCGAGAGGAGAGCGGGACGGCGCUUUAUAGCGGUUGAGAGCAGAGAGGUGCCGGGACUACUUUGCGUUCCUGCCACGGCUUCGGCGCAAGGGGCGCGCUGUGCGAGAGCUGAGCGGUGCUGCGGCUCCCCUCAGCGCUUCCUGGAAACUCCCGCUCAGGAGGAGGGGGGGGGGAAGCGGCAGAGAAAGAGUCCCAGGCCGGCUGCGGGCGGGGGGGGCGGUCCCUCCUCACCGCCGCCCCCGUGA
This 1071-nucleotide long non-coding RNA is filed under the name Phasianus colchicus (ring-necked pheasant). RNAcentral's name for it is "lncRNA (ENSPCLG00000006907.1)". The record is from RNAcentral. Lineage: Eukaryota; Metazoa; Chordata; Aves; Galliformes; Phasianidae.